Molecule: unclassified non-coding RNA, 313 nt
Filed under: uncultured fungus
Lineage: Eukaryota; Fungi
Description: sequence contains ITS1
Rfam family: 5.8S ribosomal RNA (bases 1-106)
Source: RNAcentral
GAAAUGCGAUAAGUAAUGCGAAUUGCAGAAUUUCCGUGAGUCAUCGAAUCUUUGAACGCACAUUGCGCCCAUUGGUAUUCCGAUGGGCAUGCCUGUUCGAGCGUCAUUAUCCUCUCUCCAAACCCCCGGUUUGGGUGUUGGACCGAGUUGUGGCAACGCAACUGGUCUCAAAGACAAUGACGGCGUCCGUGGGACCCUCUUCGCAACGAGUCUUUCGAGGCACGCGGGGAGUUGCAAGGUCCCGUCGGGUCGGUCUAAACCUUUUAUUUCUCAGGUUGACCUCGGAUCAGGUAGGAAUACCCGCUGAACUUAA